This 406-nucleotide ribosomal RNA is filed under the name uncultured bacterium. Its description in RNAcentral is "bacterial SSU rRNA". It matches the Rfam family "Bacterial small subunit ribosomal RNA", at positions 120 to 518 of the family's 1533-position model. The record is from RNAcentral.
UCCAACCUUCCCAUAACUCAGGGAUAGCCUUUCGAAAGAAAGAUUAAUACCUGAUAGUACUUUUUUCAAGGCAUCUUAGAAAAAAGUUAAAGAUUUUAUUGGUUAUGGAUGGGAUGCGUUCCAUUAGAUAGUUGGUGAGGUAACGGCUCACCAAGUCUUCGAUGGAUAGGGGUUCUGAGAGGAAGGUCCCCCACAUUGGUACUGAGACACGGACCAAACUCCUACGGGAGGCAGCAGUGAGGAAUACUGGUCAAGUGGGCGAGAGCCUGAACCAGCCAAGUAGCGUGAAGGAAUGAAGGUCCUAUGGAUUGUAAACUUUCUUUUAUAGUAGAAUAAAGUGAUCCACGUGUGGAUUUUUGUAUGUAUACUAUGAAUAAGGAUCGGCUAACUCCGUGCCAGCCGCCGC